Molecule: unclassified non-coding RNA, 404 nt
Filed under: soil metagenome
Description: partial contains 5.8S ribosomal RNA, internal transcribed spacer 2, and large subunit ribosomal RNA
Rfam family: 5.8S ribosomal RNA (bases 2-120)
Source: RNAcentral
GUGAAGAACGUAGCGAAAUGCGAUAAGUAGUGUGAAUUGCAGAAUUCAGUGAAUCAUCGAAUCUUUGAACGCACCUUGCGCCCUUUGGCCAUUCCGAAGGGCAUGCCUGUUUGAGUAUCAUGAACACCUCAACUCUUUAUGGUUUUCCAUGAUGAGCUUGGACUCUGGGGGUUUUGCUGGCUCACAGUCGGCUCCUCUAAAAUUAAUCAGCUUACCAGUGUUUGGUGGGUAUCAUGGGUGUGAUAACUAUCUACGCUUGUGGUUUUUCCACCAGGUAACCUUCAGCAGUGGAGGUUCGCUGGAGCUCAUAGAUGUCUCUCCUCAGUGAGGACAGCCCUUUGAAUGUUUGAUCUCAAAUCAGGUAGGACUACCCGCUGAACUUAAGCAUAUCAAUAAGCGGAGGA